RNAcentral lists this small RNA (790 nucleotides) under Pongo abelii (Sumatran orangutan). Its description in RNAcentral is "retained intron". The record is from RNAcentral. Lineage: Eukaryota; Metazoa; Chordata; Mammalia; Primates; Hominidae.
GGAAACCACACGCUCAGGGCAGACAGCUCUUGGGGACUCUGCCGUUAGCCCCUUCCUUACAUCACCUCAUCCCUCGGGGGCACUUGAUAGCAGACAAGAAGUUCCAGAAAGGCUUACAUUUACUAAAAGUUUACUUCAAAUCCGCCUCAGUCAAAGUCCAUGUGUUCUGAAAAGGACAGAGGGGGCCUUGGAGUGCAGCCAAAUGGAAGGACUUUGAAGGCUGUCCAAGUGCUGCUUUCAGAGUGCACCAAGUUUUUAUUGUCCCUGACCGUGGCUCCCUGCCUGUCAGGCGGGAGCCUGGAGCCUGCACAGGGACAGAGCUGGUUUCAUCCGGUACUCCCUAGCCCUGGACAUCCUCCUUGUGUCACCUGUCCUCCUGCAGGCCCUCACUCUCCCCUGAGGCUGUCUUGUCCCGGACUGUGGGGAGCACCUCCACCCCCCGGAGCAGGUGCACACCCAGGUAAGCAGGUCCAGGGGCUAGGGUGGGCAGGGCUGGCUUUUGGAUCCUGAGUGUCACUACUCUCUCCUCCCUCCUCCCAGGGAUGCCCUGGACCUAAGUGACAUCGACUCAGAGCCUCCUCGGGGCUCCUUCCCCUCCUUUGAGCCUCGGAACCUCCUCAGCCUGUUUGAGGACACCCUAGACCCAACCUGAGCCCCAGGCUCUGCCUCUGCACUUUUAACCUUUUAUCCUGUCUCUCCCAUCGCCCUUGAAAGCUGGGGCCCCUUGGGAACUCCCAUGGUCUUCUCUGCCUGGCCAUGUCUAAUAAAAAGUAUUUGAACCUUGGGAGCA